CUGGCCAAAGCGACAGGAUCUGGUUCACUAUCAGAACCCAUGUUUAUAGUCCACCCUGAUCAAGAGCGACUUUAUGUCCGCAACGACGGUUACCCCACUAAGGCCAAAGCGACAAAGUGGGUCGAGAUCAUUAAGGCCAAAGCGACAAAAUGAUCUCCAAGUCUAUCAAGGCCAAAGCGACAAGAUAGCAGAAUUAUUGAGGCCAAAGCGACAAAAUAAUUCUUUGGUCCAUUGAGGCCAUAGCGACAAAAUGGACCGACUCGUUUAGAGUCUGAUUCUGGCCGAAGCGACAGAAUGCGUGGAUCCUGGCCAAAGCGACAGGAUCGUUCCUGCAAAACAAAAAUAACCUGCAAAACAACUACAUCAGUCUAAAGGAUAUAUUCACUAUUGACUUACUGACCUUGCCG
This 407-nucleotide long non-coding RNA is filed under the name Zostera marina. RNAcentral's name for it is "long non-coding RNA (ZMAR_LNC002519)". The record is from RNAcentral. Lineage: Eukaryota; Viridiplantae; Streptophyta; Magnoliopsida; Alismatales; Zosteraceae.